Chelonoidis abingdonii (Abingdon island giant tortoise) is the source of this 97-nucleotide non-coding RNA. NCBI's taxonomy places the organism in Eukaryota, Metazoa, Chordata, Testudines, Testudinidae. The record is from RefSeq and is a predicted model, not a curated record.
CCCCUGGAGCACUGCUUUACCACAUUAUAUCUAAAUUUGUGUUAAUCGGGUUACGUUAUAUUGGGUUAGAGGUGUAUAUGAUUAAAUUUAGCCUAAU